Molecule: long non-coding RNA, 305 nt
Filed under: Homo sapiens (human)
Lineage: Eukaryota; Metazoa; Chordata; Mammalia; Primates; Hominidae
Description: HSALNT0300340
Source: RNAcentral
GCCGAUUGUGAAGAAGGUGGAGGCUUGGAUUCACAGUCACCAGGAUUCUCAUGAGGACAAAUUAGAGCACCUGUCACUAUAGCCAGCACUCAAGAAAUGGGAUUAUCAUCAGAGGGAAAAAUGCACAGCCUCACCAGCUAUUAAACAUAUGGAAAUGAUGACAAUUUAAAGCUUAUAAAUAACAUUAGCGGUGGCUUGGAUUUAUUGUUGUGGCCUCCGGAAGAACUUGGGCACAGUGUAACUUCCUGGGGCCCGAGGUUGUUAAUCGGUGAAUUGUUCAUGAAGGACAGUGCUCACUGUGAAGG